This 292-nucleotide ribosomal RNA is filed under the name uncultured bacterium. RNAcentral's name for it is "partial 16S ribosomal RNA". It matches the Rfam family "Bacterial small subunit ribosomal RNA", at positions 505 to 796 of the family's 1533-position model. The record is from RNAcentral.
UUGCAAGCCGCCGCGGUAAUACGGGGGGGGCAAGCGUUGUUCGGAAUUACUGGGCGUAAAGGGUUCGUAGGUGGCCCGCUAAGUCACACGUGAAAUCCCUCAGCUCAACUGGGGAACUGCGUGUGAGACUGGCAGGCUCGAGUGCAGGAGAGGAACGCGGAAUUCCAGGUGUAGCGGUGAAAUGCGUAGAUAUCUGGAGGAACACCGGUGGCGAAGGCGGCGUUCUGGACUGUAUCUGACACUGAGGAACGAAAGCCAGGGGAGCAAACGGGAUUAGAAACCCGAGUAGUCC